This 497-nucleotide ribosomal RNA is filed under the name uncultured bacterium. RNAcentral's name for it is "partial 16S ribosomal RNA". It matches the Rfam family "Bacterial small subunit ribosomal RNA", at positions 34 to 507 of the family's 1533-position model. The record is from RNAcentral.
UCUGCCCGCUGGCGGCGUGCCUAAUACAUGCAAGUCGAGCGAACGGACGAGAAGCUUGCUUCUCUGAUGUUAGCGGCGGACGGGUGAGUAACACGUGGAUAACCUACCUAUAAGACUGGAAUAACUUCGGGAAACCGGAGCUAAUACCGGAUAAUAUUUUGAACCGCAUGGUUCAAAAGUGAAAGACGGUCUUGCUGUCACUUAUAGAUGGAUCCGCGCUGCAUUAGCUAGUUGGUAAGGUAACGGCUUACCAAGGCAACGAUGCAUAGCCGACCUGAGAGGGUGAUCGGCCACACUGGAACUGAGACACGGUCCAGACUCCUACGGGAGGCAGCAGUAGGGAAUCUUCCGCAAUGGGCGAAAGCCUGACGGAGCAACGCCGCGUGAGUGAUGAAGGUCUUCGGAUCGUAAAACUCUGUUAUUAGGGAAGAACAUAUGUGUAAGUAACUGUGCACAUCUUGACGGUACCUAAUCAGAAAGCCACGGCUAACUACGUG